Haliotis rubra (blacklip abalone) is the source of this 1346-nucleotide long non-coding RNA. RefSeq lists it as uncharacterized. The record is from RefSeq and is a predicted model, not a curated record. The transcript is spliced from 3 exons. NCBI's taxonomy places the organism in Eukaryota, Metazoa, Mollusca, Gastropoda, Lepetellida, Haliotidae.
UAUAGGAUCAUGUCCAGGUUCCAGAGGACAUCUUGUCCAGAACAUUUUGUCCAGGACCUACAGAACAUCUUGUCCGGGUUCUAGAGGACAUCUUGUCCAGUACCUACUGGAGAGCCUAUCCAUGUUUAGAGGACAUCUUGUCCACAACCUACAGGACAUGUUGUAUAAGGCCUCAAAACAGCUUGUCCAGAACAUUUGGGACAAUGGAUGUGAAAUAACUUGCUAAAAUAAAUCCUUACAAGGUUUAUGAUCAGUUUAUCAUGGCCUAAUAUAAAUGUUUCCAUCUUAUUCCCACAUGUAUGCCUCAGUAUGAAAUAUAGGUAUUUACAUCAACAUAUGCACCGCCACCUGAUCUUCCUCACAACUAGUCAUAGGACAUAGGACAUGAGUUCAGCAGAGGUUCUGACCAUAGGUACCUUUCCUAAACUUCCAAUCAUACACCAGCUUCCGUGUGCAUUCAUAUGACAUAGUCUAGAAUAUUAUAGAUAUCUGGUUGCUGUAAACCAGUAAAUAUGAUUUUUAUUUUUUUUAUCAACUUUGUGUCAAUUUAAGGUCACCAAAGUCAGUGUCUGUUUUGUUUGUAUGAAUGGAAGUAUGCAGGUGAUAGAAAAUGUGGUUGUGACGUUUGCUUGUGUCUGAAUAUUACUAUAUAUUGCUCUUAAUCUUUUGAAAAACUAUCAUUCCUGUGAAAGAUGCUUGCGUUUAAUCCUUUACAAACCAUCCUAUUAAUGAAAGAUUUCUAUUUUUUGUAAUGUAAAAUGCUGCUUGAUCUCAGUUACUUUUUCUUUGGGCCAGAACAGUUAAUUUUUGUGUUUUACAGGUGAGCCUUUAACAAGUGAAAUUGAAAAUUUGAUUGAAAUUUACUUUAAUAUUCUUAUUUGUUGGGAUAUACACAUUUUGUUUCAUGAUGUUCUUUUAAAAACAUUACUCAGUAACCUUUUAGUAACCUCUAUCUUUUCUGUGAUUUUCUCCCAACUUUUUACCAAAUCGGUCAAGAAAACCAUCAAACAAAAAUUAAUGAAUCUGGCCUCAAUCUGAUUUAAAAGCAACAAAAAGCACAAUGAUGUUGUGUGGAAUAUUCCUUCCAGGGUUUAUGUCGCUCAUCGACUUUCACUCACCGUCCAUUGUGUCCAGUGUGGGAAAGUAUAUUUUUACAUUUAAUGCAGAAAGAAAUAUAUAUGGCAGACAAUUCCUUCCAUUCCCAUGUUGCUUGUUACCUCCACGUGUCUUGUUGUGAUGUGUCCGGUGGAAUGCUUACCUCUGUGUUGUGUGCUAUAUCUGUGUUAUACCUGUACAGUACAAUACUGCAGCCAGAUGACAUGUGGUAAUAAAGGUUUCAAAUAGCA